RNAcentral lists this ribosomal RNA (231 nucleotides) under uncultured bacterium. Its description in RNAcentral is "partial 16S ribosomal RNA". It matches the Rfam family "Bacterial small subunit ribosomal RNA", at positions 15 to 237 of the family's 1533-position model. The record is from RNAcentral.
GAUCAUGGCUCAGGAUGAACGCUAGCUACAGGUUUAACACAUGCAAGUCGAGGGGCAGCAUGGUCUUAGCUUGCUAAGGCCGAUGGCGACCGGCGCACGGGUGAGUAACGCGUAUCCAACCUGCCUUACACUCUUGGACAGCCUUCUGGAAGGGAGAUUAAUACAAGAUGUUAUCAUGAGUAAGCAUUUUCGCAUGAUUAAAGGUUUACCGGUGUAAGAUGGGGAUGCGUU